RNAcentral lists this ribosomal RNA (375 nucleotides) under uncultured organism. Its description in RNAcentral is "partial 16S ribosomal RNA". It matches the Rfam family "Bacterial small subunit ribosomal RNA", at positions 527 to 896 of the family's 1533-position model. The record is from RNAcentral.
GUAGGUGGCAAGCGUUGUCCGGAAUUAUUGGGCGUAGAGCGCGCGCAGGCGGGGUCCUUUAAGUCUGAUGUGAAAGCCCACGGGCUCAACCGUGGAGGGUCAUUGGAAACUGGGGGACUUGAGUACAGAAGAGGAAAGCGGAAUUCCAAGUGUAGCGGUGAAAUGCGUAGAGAUUUGGAGGAACACCAGUGGCGAAGGCGGCUUUCUGGUCUGUAACUGACGCUGAGGCGCGAAAGCGUGGGGAGCAAACAGGAUUAGAUACCCUGGUAGUCCACGCCGUAAACGAUGAGUGCUAAGUGUUAGGGGGUUUCCGCCCCUUAGUGCUGCAGCUAACGCAUUAAGCACUCCGCCUGGGGAGUACGGCCGCAAAGGCUG